GUUGUGGUAAAGAAGAGGUUUUUUUGGGUCAAAGCAGCAAAUUAUAUAGCUCUAAAAUGAGUACAUCCUGCCAGAUCAUGAGAAAGUAAAGAGUACAAAGUAGAAGGAAUAUCUCCUUUAGAUGUCCAAAGAAACUCUUCGGAGUGCCAGGCGACGAAGCAGACAACCUAGUAUGCUGUCCUAUUCGCUUUUCGAAAUACGUGUGCUGCCUGUAAGCCACCCAACUCCUGAGCCAGUCGUCGAGUCUCUCUAAUGAGGGGAUGGCCAUCCCAUAUCUAUCCAUACCUCGGAUCCAGUCAACCUCCACAGAGGAAUCUCCUUCAAGAAGCACCCACUCGGCAUUGAGGACUCUCCUCGCAAAUGACAACCCUUCCCAUGCAGCUCGAAGCUCUACCCCAAGAACUAUAA
This 408-nucleotide long non-coding RNA is filed under the name Phoenix dactylifera (date palm). Its description in RNAcentral is "long non-coding RNA (PDAC_LNC014619)". Lineage: Eukaryota; Viridiplantae; Streptophyta; Magnoliopsida; Arecales; Arecaceae. The record is from RNAcentral.